Molecule: ribosomal RNA, 551 nt
Filed under: Pseudochattonella verruculosa
Lineage: Eukaryota; Dictyochophyceae; Florenciellales
Description: LSU rRNA
Rfam family: Eukaryotic large subunit ribosomal RNA
Source: RNAcentral
ACCCGCUGAAUUUAAGCAUAUAACUAGGCCGAGGAAAAGAAACUAACCAGGAUUCCCCCAGUAACGGCGAGUGAAGCGGGAGAAGCCCAUGCUGCCAACCGCUCCGGCGGGUUGUGCCAGGCGUGCCUGGUGAGGUCCCGGGGAGAAGUCCUUUGGAACAAGGUAUCAGAGAGGGUGACAAUCCCGUCUGUGCCUCGGGGUCCUCGCGUGAAGGCCGUGCUAAUGGAGUCGAGUUGCUUGGGAUUGCAGCUCAAAGUCGGUGGUAAAUUCCAUCGAAGGCUAAAUACGGGUGGGAGACCGAUAGCGAACAAGUACUGUGAAGGAAAGAUGAAAAGAACUUUGAAAAGAGAGUUAAAGAGUGCCUGAAAUUGCUGAGAGGGAACCGAAGGUGAUCAGUGGGGGCCGCUGCCAUUUUUCGUGUUCCGACCUCGGAGCACGCCCUGUGGCAGGGGCCCGCUCCGCGCCGUCGCGUCCGGCCGUAAGCUUGGGGCCGGGGGUGGUGGGGCGGAGGAAAUGGUCCUCUUUACCCCGUCUUGAAACACGGACCAAGG